Varroa destructor (honeybee mite) is the source of this 748-nucleotide long non-coding RNA. RefSeq lists it as uncharacterized. The record is from RefSeq and is a predicted model, not a curated record. NCBI's taxonomy places the organism in Eukaryota, Metazoa, Arthropoda, Arachnida, Mesostigmata, Varroidae.
CUUGCGGAAUAUCGUGAUCGUUAACGGAUUUUGUCUUUUUUCGGAAGCGGCGAAGUCACCCGGCUGCAAUGGAUGUCCACCGAUAUGUAUUAGGACGUACAAAACACGCUCUAUACAUGCUAGCUGUCCACUAAACGAUGGGAUUGGUGAACAAAAUCGUUCUUACUUUAGCCAGACAGUGUUUACGUGUGUGUAUGCGUCUACGAAACAAGUUUGAAAACAAUCCAAGAAAUAGACUAAGGGAAUUGCGCUGGAGACAUUAUAUACGUCUACAUGGUGAAACACUCAUAAAUAGAAAGAGAUACACGACAAAGCAGAAAUUACUUGACCUGUGACUGAAGUUUCAAUCUCGCUACGUACGGCACGCCAGUCUUUUCUACGAUACGAAUGGACGACCAUUUUCUACGUCCCUCGUUGGCAACAACACAUUUCCACCAAUUCUAUAUUGACGGACAAUAGUCGUCCAAGUUACGUCACUACCCUGCGAACAGUAACAAGAAAAGACGGCAAAAGUUAGCAGUUGUGAUUACAAAAAAAACGAAAUCACGGGGUCACUAUCAGCAAUGCCGGCCACGCCAAUGCUGUUAUUAUGAUUGCCUAUUCGAAGUCGGCGAAUCGAUUUACACAGAUGAUCGUCCGAUCGCCCCGUCGGCCGACGGUCAUCUGGGGGUUUUGCGUCGCGUUCACACCUCUACGUAUACGCGUUUCCUGCGAUUGUAGAUCAAUAUGGUUAUACGACCGCAACGCA